CGCGCUCCCUACAAUUAUUAGUUUAAUUGAGCAUGUGGCCAUCACGAGGAUGAUGUAACACCAGCAGUUACGGGACUUAGUCGAUAACUGCCAAAAAGGUGU
This 102-nucleotide small RNA is filed under the name unclassified sequences. RNAcentral's name for it is "COG3943 RNA". It matches the Rfam family "COG3943 RNA". Rfam says of the family: cow rumen. Environment (Cow rumen (57)) The record is from Rfam by way of RNAcentral.